UGUGAGCUCGAUGAGUAGGGCGGGACACGUGGUAUCCUGUCUGAAUAUGGGGGGACCAUCCUCCAAGGCUAAAUACUCCUGACUGACCGAUAGUGAACCAGUACCGUGAGGGAAAGGCGAAAAGAACCCCGGCGAGGGGAGUGAAAAAGAACCUGAAACCGUGUACGUACAAGCAGUGGGAGCACGCUUAGGCGUGUGACUGCGUACCUUUUGUAUAAUGGGUCAGCGACUUAUAUUCUGUAGCAAGGUUAACCGAAUAGGGGAGCCGAAGGGAAACCGAGUCUUAACUGGGCGUUAAGUUGCAGGGUAUAGACCCGAAACCCGGUGAUCUAGCCAUGGGCAGGUUGAAGGUUGGGUAACACUAACUGGAGGACCGAACCGACUAAUGUUGAAAAAUUAGCGGAUGACUUGUGGCUGGGGGUGAAAGGCCAAUCAAACCGGGAGAUAGCUGGUUCUCCCCGAAAGCUAUUUAGGUAGCGCCUCGUGAAUUCAUCUCCGGGGGUAGAGCACUGUUUCGGCAAGGGGGUCAUCCCGACUUACCAACCCGAUGCAAACUGCGAAUACCGGAGAAUGUUAUCACGGGAGACACACGGCGGGUGCUAACGUCCGUCGUGAAGAGGGAAACAACCCAGACCGCCAGCUAAGGUCCCAAAGUCAUGGUUAAGUGGGAAACGAUGUGGGAAGGCCCAGACAGCCAGGAUGUUGGCUUAGAAGCAGCCAUCAUUUAAAGAAAGCGUAAUAGCUCACUGGUCGAGUCGGCCUGCGCGGAAGAUGUAACGGGGCUAAACCAUGCACCGAAGCUGCGGCAGCGACGCUUAUGCGUUGUUGGGUAGGGGAGCGUUCUGUAAGCCUGUGAAGGUGUACUGUGAGGUAUGCUGGAGGUAUCAGAAGUGCGAAUGCUGACAUAAGUAACGAUAAAGCGGGUGAAAAGCCCGCUCGCCGGAAGACCAAGGGUUCCUGUCCAACGUUAAUCGGGGCAGGGUGAGUCGACCCCUAAGGCGAGGCCGAAAGGCGUAGUCGAUGGGAAACAGGUUAAUAUUCCUGUACUUGGUGUUACUGCGAAGGGGGGACGGAGAAGGCUAUGUUGGCCGGGCGACGGUUGUCCCGGUUUAAGCGUGUAGGCUGGUUUUCCAGGCAAAUCCGGAAAAUCAAGGCUGAGGCGUGAUGACGAGGCACUACGGUGCUGAAGCAACAAAUGCCCUGCUUCCAGGAAAAGCCUCUAAGCAUCAGGUAACAUCAAAUCGUACCCCAAACCGACACAGGUGGUCAGGUAGAGAAUACCAAGGCGCUUGAGAGAACUCGGGUGAAGGAACUAGGCAAAAUGGUGCCGUAACUUCGGGAGAAGGCACGCUGAUAUGUAGGUGAAGUCCCUCGCGGAUGGAGCUGAAAUCAGUCGAAGAUACCAGCUGGCUGCAACUGUUUAUUAAAAACACAGCACUGUGCAAACACGAAAGUGGACGUAUACGGUGUGACGCCUGCCCGGUGCCGGAAGGUUAAUUGAUGGGGUUAGCGCAAGCGAAGCUCUUGAUCGAAGCCCCGGUAAACGGCGGCCGUAACUAUAACGGUCCUAAGGUAGCGAAAUUCCUUGUCGGGUAAGUUCCGACCUGCACGAAUGGCGUAAUGAUGGCCAGGCUGUCUCCACCCGAGACUCAGUGAAAUUGAACUCGCUGUGAAGAUGCAGUGUACCCGCGGCAAGACGGAAAGACCCCGUGAACCUUUACUAUAGCUUGACACUGAACAUUGAGCCUUGAUGUGUAGGAUAGGUGGGAGGCUUUGAAGUGUGGACGCCAGUCUGCAUGGAGCCGACCUUGAAAUACCACCCUUUAAUGUUUGAUGUUCUAACGUUGACCCGUAAUCCGGGUUGCGGACAGUGUCUGGUGGGUAGUUUGACUGGGGCGGUCUCCUCCUAAAGAGUAACGGAGGAGCACGAAGGUUGGCUAAUCCUGGUCGGACAUCAGGAGGUUAGUGCAAUGGCAUAAGCCAGCUUGACUGCGAGCGUGACGGCGCGAGCAGGUGCGAAAGCAGGUCAUAGUGAUCCGGUGGUUCUGAAUGGAAGGGCCAUCGCUCAACGGAUAAAAGGUACUCCGGGGAUAACAGGCUGAUACCGCCCAAGAGUUCAUAUCGACGGCGGUGUUUGGCACCUCGAUGUCGGCUCAUCACAUCCUGGGGCUGAAGUAGGUCCCAAGGGUAUGGCUGUUCGCCAUUUAAAGUGGUACGCGAGCUGGGUUUAGAACGUCGUGAGACAGUUCGGUCCCUAUCUGCCGUGGGCGCUGGAGAACUGAGGGGGGCUGCUCCUAGUACGAGAGGACCGGAGUGGACGCAUCACUGGUGUUCGGGUUGUCAUGCCAAUGGCACUGCCCGGUAGCUAAAUGCGGAAGAGAUAAGUGCUGAAAGCAUCUAAGCACGAAACUUGCCCCGAGAUGAGUUCUCCCUGACUCCUUGAGAGUCCUGAAGGAACGUUGAAGACGACGACGUUGAUAGGCCGGGUGUGUAAGCGCAGCGAUGCGUUGAGCUAACCGGUACUAAUGAACCGUGAGGCUUAACCUU
This 2547-nucleotide ribosomal RNA is filed under the name Escherichia coli O104:H4 str. 11-4632 C1. RNAcentral describes it as "bacterial LSU rRNA". It matches the Rfam family "Bacterial large subunit ribosomal RNA", at positions 398 to 2925 of the family's 2925-position model. RNAcentral also lists the same sequence under 1 other name. Lineage: Bacteria; Pseudomonadati; Pseudomonadota; Gammaproteobacteria; Enterobacterales; Enterobacteriaceae. The record is from RNAcentral.